CCCUUAGAUGUUCUGGGCUGCACGCGCGCUACACUGAUGCGCUCAACGAGUCCAAAACCUUGAUUGAUAGGUCUGGGUAAUCUUUUGAAUACGUAUCGUGCUAGGGAUAGAUUAUUGCAAUUAUUAAUCUUGAACGAGGAAUUCCUAGUAAACGCAAGCCAUCAGCUUGCAUUGAUUACGUCCCUGCCCUUUGUACACACCGCCCGUCGCACCUACCGAUUGAAGGACUCGGUGAAAAAUUGGGACUGUGAUUGAAAUUGCUUCAUUGCGAAUUUAAUCAUGGAAACUUUCUUUAACCUAGGCAUUUAGAGGAAGGUGAAGUCGUAACA
Molecule: ribosomal RNA, 329 nt
Filed under: uncultured eukaryote
Lineage: Eukaryota
Description: partial 18S ribosomal RNA
Rfam family: Eukaryotic small subunit ribosomal RNA
Source: RNAcentral